Molecule: small nuclear RNA, 139 nt
Filed under: Neogale vison (American mink)
Lineage: Eukaryota; Metazoa; Chordata; Mammalia; Carnivora; Mustelidae
Description: Neovison vison (American mink) U4 spliceosomal RNA (ENSNVIG00000020570.1)
Rfam family: U4 spliceosomal RNA (bases 1-80)
About the family: U4 small nuclear RNA (U4 snRNA) is a component of the major U2-dependent spliceosome.
Source: RNAcentral
AGCUUUGCGCAGUGGCAGUAUCGUAGCCAAUGAGGUUUAUCCGAGGCGCGAUUAUUGCUAAUUGUAAUGUGCAAACAUUAGGGGAACCUCAAAUGGGUGGAGGAUGUAUGGGAACUUCCUGUACUAACGUUGUCAUGUU